GAUGAACGCUGGCGGCGUGCCUAAUACAUGCAAGUCGAGCGAACGGACGAGAAGCUUGCUUCUCUGAUGUUAGCGGCGGACGGGUGAGUAACACGUGGAUAACCUACCUAUAAGACUGGGAUAACUUCGGGAAACCGGAGCUAAUACCGGAUGAUAUUUUGAACCGCAUGGUUCAAAAGUGAAAGACGGUCUUGCUGUCACUUAUAGAUGGAUCCGCGCUGCAUUAGCUAGUUGGUAAGGUAACGGCUUACCAAGGCAACGAUGCAUAGCCGACCUGAGAGGGUGAUCGGCCACACUGGAACUGAGACACGGUCCAGACUCCUACGGGAGGCAGCAGUAGGGAAUCUUCCGCAAUGGGCGAAAGCCUGACGGAGCAACGCCGCGUGAGUGAUGAAGGUCUUCGGAUCGUAAAACUAUGUUAUUAGGGAAGAACAUAUGUGUAAGUAACUGUGCACAUCUUGACGGUACCUAAUCAGAAAGCCACGGCUAACUACGUG
RNAcentral lists this ribosomal RNA (497 nucleotides) under uncultured bacterium. Its description in RNAcentral is "partial 16S ribosomal RNA". It matches the Rfam family "Bacterial small subunit ribosomal RNA", at positions 28 to 507 of the family's 1533-position model. The record is from RNAcentral.